Molecule: ribosomal RNA, 408 nt
Filed under: uncultured bacterium
Lineage: Bacteria
Description: bacterial SSU rRNA
Rfam family: Bacterial small subunit ribosomal RNA
Source: RNAcentral
AACGAACGCUGGCGGCGCGCCUAAUACAUGCAAGUCGAGCGAGAAGACGUAGCAAUACGUUUGUAAAGCGGCGAACGGGUGAGGAAUACAUGGGUAACCUACCCUCGAGUGGGGAAUAACUAGCCGAAAGGUUAGCUAAUACCGCGUACGCUCCUUGGACUUCGGUUCAGGGAGGAAAGCGAUACCGUGGGUAUCGCGCUCUUGGAUGGGCUCAUGUCCUAUCAGCUUGUUGGUGAGGAACGGCUCACCAAGGCUUCGACGGGUAGCUGGUCUGAGAGGACGAUCAGCCACACUGGCACUGCGACACGGGCCAGACUCCUACGGGGAGCAGCAGUAAGGAAUAUUGCGCAAUGGGCAAAGCCUGACGCAGCGACGCCGCGUGGGGGAUGAAGGUCUUCGGAUUGUAAA